UAUGCGUCGCAUGUGGCGCCCGGUAGACCUAACAACGAAGAAGCACAAAAAGGCGUAACUUGUUUGUCGUCUGCUUUUAAAGAACAGACGGCACGCACGCGCCUCAAUCAUGGCGUACGACGGAAAAGGACGCAGCGGGACCUCCGAAAACGCUUAACUGCGCCGAUUCCCACUCGAAGACCCUGGAUUCAGCAGAGGCUUGGUGAUGCCCGCGUACCUGUAGCUCUCCACGAACUUCGAAUGACAAUUGCGGUUGCUAUAGUCAGCGAUCGUCGAAGUCGUCUCCUCCUAACUGGCCUGUUCGAAAGCGCCGUUUGCUCACCCAAAUGCGCGCAGCAGACGAUCGCAAAGUCGAACGCGAGCACACUUCCCGCGUGUGGUGACCCGCGCCUUCGCGUCCGUCUCCGCACCACUCGCGGCGCAAGAGCGAAGCCUGCUGUUAACAGCGCAAAAUGUAGACAAGAGACUAGACAAGAGGACACAUGAUGACAUGAUGACAUGACCUGAUGAGCGAUCACGUGACUGCGACACGUGUGGGCAAUGAUUAUAA
Long non-coding RNA from Dermacentor albipictus, 550 nucleotides. RefSeq lists it as uncharacterized. The record is from RefSeq and is a predicted model, not a curated record. NCBI's taxonomy places the organism in Eukaryota, Metazoa, Arthropoda, Arachnida, Ixodida, Ixodidae.